GAUGAACGCUGACAGAAUGCUUAACACAUGCAAGUCAACUUGAAUUUGGGUUUUUAACUUAGGUUUGGGUGGCGGACGGGUGAGUAACGCGUAAAGAACUUGCCUCACAGCUAGGGACAACAUUUGGAAACGAAUGCUAAUACCUAAUAUUAUGAUAAUAGGGCAUCCUAUAAUUAUGAAAGCUAUAAGCGCUGUGAGAGAGCUUUGCAUCCCAUUAGCUAGUUGAAGAGGUAACGGCUCACCAAGGCGAUGAUGGGUAGCCGGCCUGAGAGGGUGAUCGGCCACAAGGGGACUGAGACACGGCCCUUACUCCUACGGGAGGCAGCAGUGGGGAAUAUUGGACAAUGGACCAAGAGUCUGAUCCAGCAAUUCUGUGUGCACGAUGAAGUUUUUCGGAAUGUAAAGUGCUUUCAGUUGGGAAGAAAGAAAUGACGGUACCAACAGAAGAAGUGACGGCUAAAUACGUGCCAGCAGCCGCGGUAAUACGUAUGUCACGAGCGUUAUCCGGAUUUAUUGGGCGUAAAGCGCGUCUAGGUGGUUAUGUAAGUCUGAUGUGAAAAUGCAGGGCUCAACUCUGUAUUGCGUUGGAAACUGUAUAACUAGAGUACUGGAGAGGUAAGCGGAACUACAAGUGUAGAGGUGAAAUUCGUAGAUAUUUGUAGGAAUACCGAUGGGGAAGCCAGCUUACUGGACAGAUACUGACGCUGAAGCGCGAAAGCGUGGGUAGCAAACAGG
This 735-nucleotide ribosomal RNA is filed under the name uncultured Fusobacterium sp. Its description in RNAcentral is "bacterial SSU rRNA". It matches the Rfam family "Bacterial small subunit ribosomal RNA", at positions 28 to 776 of the family's 1533-position model. Lineage: Bacteria; Fusobacteriati; Fusobacteriota; Fusobacteriia; Fusobacteriales; Fusobacteriaceae. The record is from RNAcentral.